UCAAACCUUGCUGGACAGUUUGUGUUCAGUGAAGAAAGUAAAAUGGCGGCCGCGAUCGUAAAAGGCCUGUAACGUUGUUCUUGCACAAUACAUUUUUAAAGCUUUAAUUUAGCAAUUUUAAUUAGGUAUAUUUUACUAAUGCCUGUAAAUAUGCGAUAAGAGAAAAUACGUAAAAUUGUAGUUAUUACAAAAGUCCCGGCAGCCUCCAGCCCACAUCGCGAGGUACAUAAUGCCAGAGGAGGACGAAUUUGACCAAGUCGAUUCUGGCCGCCCUAGAUCAAAGAAAGGAAAACGUCAAAGAGAGGAAGAGGGGGAGGAGAGGGAGAGCGAGAGGAGGCGAG
Molecule: long non-coding RNA, 341 nt
Organism: Anguilla rostrata (American eel)
Lineage: Eukaryota; Metazoa; Chordata; Actinopteri; Anguilliformes; Anguillidae
Exons: 3
Source: RefSeq, a predicted model, not a curated record